Molecule: ribosomal RNA, 429 nt
Filed under: uncultured bacterium
Lineage: Bacteria
Description: bacterial SSU rRNA
Rfam family: Bacterial small subunit ribosomal RNA
Source: RNAcentral
UGGGGAAUAUUGCGCAAUGGGCGAAAGCCUGACGCAGCAACGCCGCGUGAGUGAGGAAGGCCUUAGGGUUGUAAAGCUCUGUCAAUGUGGAAAAAUGGCUUUGGGUCCAAUAGGCCUAAAGUUUGAUGGUACACAUAAAGGAAGCACCGGCUAACUUCGUGCCAGCAGCCGCGGUAAUACGAAGGGUGCGAGCGUUGUUCGGAUUUAUUGGGCGUAAAGCGGGUGCAGGCGGAUAUACAAGUCAGAUGUGAAAUCUCGAGGCUCAACCUCGAAACUGCGUCUGAAACUGUACAUCUAGAAUCUCGUAGAGGGAGGCGGAAUUUCGCAUGUAGGAGUAAAAUCCGUAGAUAUGCGAAGGAACACCAGAGGCGAAGGCGGCCUCCUGGGCGAGUAUUGACGCUGUAGCCGAAAGCGUGGGGAGCAAACAGG